Long non-coding RNA from Brassica napus (rape), 853 nucleotides. RefSeq lists it as uncharacterized. The record is from RefSeq and is a predicted model, not a curated record. NCBI's taxonomy places the organism in Eukaryota, Viridiplantae, Streptophyta, Magnoliopsida, Brassicales, Brassicaceae. The transcript has 2 exons.
GUUACUGAACAUAUUUAGCAAAUAAUUACAUUACCAAAUAUGGGUCUAAAUUUGUUAUAGUAGAGCCCAAUAUUGUAAUAGAUAACUCAAAAAUCCUACUACAUACGAUGGACUUUUUGAAAAUUGAACAUAUUCAGUCCAUUUCUUUUAUGAAUUAUGCAAUAAAUUAAAUAAUAACAAAUUGACUCUCUCGGGACAAAAAAAGGAUUAGGGUUCUAACAAAAUCAAGAUAUUUCACCAGAGGAACACAGGUGAGAAGACGUCUACGAACUACCGAGCAUAUUGUAUUCUUAUUAUUGUCCCUACCACCAAUUCUUUCGAUUACUGAUUCUUUUUUCUUUUCAAUUGAUCUCAUUGAAAAAAAAAACAAAUUUCCCCGACGAUCCUCUGAUUCAUCUGCAAAUCAUUGUCCUCAAAUGGCUUUGGGGAAGAGACGCGGUGGAUUGGUGAUUGCUGGCUGAAUGAUUCCAAAACUGAUACGGAUACAGUGUGCAGAUAGCUGAAGAAUCGAACAUAUAUUGUUUCAGUAUGAUGGAUCUAUUGUGUUUCAGUACUGUCCAGGGUCCAGGGAGCAAUGAUCGUGUAACAUAGUUUCUAUUGUAUUUUUGUUAAAUGUUAAGCUAAUGUAAUUAAGGUAAUAUAAUUUGAAUGAACAUUGGAGAACGACAUUAUUAAGGGUGGACUGUCAAUGGCAUUUGUUGUAAAUUCUCUAGGGAAGAAUGGGCAGUUAAUUAUAUAGGCUGAGAGUGAAUAUGGUGCUGCCACAUAAGGAUGGCAUCCCUGUAAAUAAUUUACACUUGUAAGGUUAUAUUUUCAAAAUGUUUCUUCAUUAAUAAGAAAGGGAUAUAUAUAA